Scylla paramamosain (green mud crab) is the source of this 1464-nucleotide long non-coding RNA. RefSeq lists it as uncharacterized. The transcript is spliced from 6 exons. The record is from RefSeq and is a predicted model, not a curated record. Lineage: Eukaryota; Metazoa; Arthropoda; Malacostraca; Decapoda; Portunidae.
CAGGUUGAAGCAGGUUGGCAGAGGUAGCCAGGCAUCAUGGCGGCCCUUGUCAGUGGAGAGAACGGCCGCUAUUUUGCCUGUUAUUCUUCCAUCGUAACUAAAUGAGAUAGUAAUUGACGAACACAACACACCACGUGGAGAGAAGCAAGGUGUGGAGUACCCAAGCCUCUCACAGUCCAUGCUAGUAGACUCACCCUGCAUGUGGAGAUCUCCCAAAAUGCACGGAGGUUAUUCCAGAGCUGCAGGACAGAGUACUUGAGACCAUUGGUGAACAGAAAGCUGAGGUUGAACAAAGCCAAGAAUUGAUAGCUGCCCAAGGUGUAAGCAAGAUUCACAAUGAUGAGGUCAUUGUGACGUGUGCAAUGUGUCCACUGGUCUUGGCCUUCCUGACCAAGGCAGCCACACAAAGGAAAUUCCACGUUAUUGUUGCCGAACGUGCCCCUAAAUAUGAUGGUCACCCAGUGGCAAAAGCUUUAUGUACUGCUGGAAUUGAGACAACAUUAAUUCAAGACUCUGCAGUGUUCCCCAUCAUGUCACGUGUCAACAAGGUCAUCAAAGGUCAUCGUUGGCACCGAGACGGUGGUGACCAACGGAGGCAUUGAGACCUUUGUUGGUGCAGCCUCUCUUGCCUCACCACCAAAGUUUUAUUCUGUUCCACUGUAUGUGUGCACUCCCACAUACAAAUUUAGCUUGAUGGGCUGUGAAGAAAUAAGCCACCAAACCACCACUUCUAUUAUCCCAGAGGGAACAAAGUUUUGGCCGUCUGUAAAUACUGCGCUGACUCAGCUAGAUUACGUUCCUCCAGAAAAUGUCACCAGUUUGAUAACUAACAAUCGAGGUACUGCACCAUCCUACGUGUACCGGCAGCUUAGCGAACUGUACCGUCCCACUUCUUGUGUAACAAGAAGGUAACAGCUUUAAUCCUUGCAAAUAAGGAAUAAGAGAAAAGAGACACACCUGCCAUUUGUACUGUUAUGCUGUAGUGUUCUGUCAUUUUUUUCCUCUUUUAUCCUAGAACCAUUUUUGGUCAUUCAUGUUUCUAAAAAUUAUUAUACAAAAAUGUUGAGCUUAAUAUGUUUGGUGUAGUUUUUUGUAACAUGUGUUAUUGUUAAUGUGUGUGGUUCCCCUCAGGAAGAAUGUUGCAGUAUUAGCAGUAAUGUUACAGCCAAUGGAAGUGUCUGUAUUGUGGUUUGGUGGGAGGUUAAUUUGAUGUAUUUUUAGAGUUGUGCAGGAUAUUAUAGCAAGCCCUCAAAAUAAAGAAAAUAACUAUAGAAAACACUCCUUGUAUUGAAAACACCACUGCAGAGAAAUCUCUAAUGAAACAGGAAACCCUACAUUCAGUACUGUGUGGUUGUUGCAGUAACACUGAGCUAAAUGCCUUUUGGAUGGUUGUACACUAAAAAUAAUGUAAAAAUGCCUAUAAACAACUGUCCGUCCCUGCAUUAAAAACCUUUCAUCAUAAAA